This 254-nucleotide ribosomal RNA is filed under the name uncultured bacterium. RNAcentral describes it as "partial 16S ribosomal RNA". It matches the Rfam family "Archaeal small subunit ribosomal RNA", at positions 474 to 728 of the family's 1478-position model. The record is from RNAcentral.
UACCAGCACCCCGAGUGGUCGGGACGAUUAUUGGGCCUAAAGCAUCCGUAGCCGGUCCUGCGAGUCUUCCGUUAAAUCCAGCUGCUCAACAGAUGGGCUGCGGAAGAUACUACAGGGCUAGGAGGCGGGAGAGGCAAGCGGUACUUUAUGGGUAGGGGUAAAAUCCUUUGAUCCAUAGAAGACCACCAGUGGCGAAGGCGGCUUGCCAGAACGCGCUCGACGGUGAGGGAUGAAAGCUGGGGGAGCAAACCGGG